Molecule: long non-coding RNA, 659 nt
Filed under: Homo sapiens (human)
Lineage: Eukaryota; Metazoa; Chordata; Mammalia; Primates; Hominidae
Description: HSALNT0385365
Source: RNAcentral
CCCUCCGCGCAGGCCUCCGGGGGGCCGGGGCUUACCAUGUAGGGGAGGGGAGAUCUAUCCACAUACCUCAGGUGGCCAUGGUGGAGGUGCAGCUGGAGAGUGACCACGAGUACCCACCAGGCCUGCUGGUGGCCUUCAGUGCCUGCACCACCGUGCUGGUGGCUGUGCACCUCUUUGCACUCAUGGUCUCCACGUGUCUGCUGCCCCACAUUGAAGCUGUGAGCAACAUCCACAACCUCAACUCUGUCCACCAGUCGCCACACCAGAGACUGCACCGCUACGUGGAGCUGGCCUGGGGCUUCUCCACUGCCCUGGGCACCUUUCUCUUCCUUGCUGAAGUUGUCCUGAGAUAAGGAAACAGGCCCAAGAAGGCUGAAGAUCUUGCCCAAAACCACACAGCUAGUCCAUGAAACUGAACUUGGACUAUCUACCCCUCACACGGGAAUCUCUCUUUGAUUUGAGAAAAGGAACCAGUGCCUUUCAACUGGAACAGAAAGGAAUCUGAUCUCAACACCUAUGCCUCCACGUAAAUUAUUUUUUUCAGCCUUAUUUCCCUCAAAAUUGUAGAGUCCUAAUCUUCUUCUAUCUUGUGGUGUGAGACCUUGGAUAAGUCUCCCUUCCACCUUUUCCUAUUACUUAAAAUGGUGAAUUUGCAUAAA